CCAUUAAGAAGCUAUGCAACAGCACUAGCCUUUUAAGCUAGAUAAAGGGGACCUUCUCCCCCUUAAUGAU
This 70-nucleotide transfer RNA is filed under the name Stachyris poliocephala (grey-headed babbler). RNAcentral describes it as "tRNA-Lys". Lineage: Eukaryota; Metazoa; Chordata; Aves; Passeriformes; Timaliidae. The record is from RNAcentral.